RNAcentral lists this unclassified non-coding RNA (336 nucleotides) under soil metagenome. RNAcentral's name for it is "partial contains 5.8S ribosomal RNA, internal transcribed spacer 2, and large subunit ribosomal RNA". The stretch from base 1 to 120 matches the Rfam family "5.8S ribosomal RNA", at positions 35 to 154 of the family's 154-position model. The record is from RNAcentral.
GAUGAAGAACGCAGCGAAAUGCGAUAAGUAAUGUGAAUUGCAGAAUUCAGUGAAUCAUCGAAUCUUUGAACGCACAUUGCGCCCGCCAGUAUUCUGGCGGGCAUGCCCGUUCGAGCGUCAUUUCAACCAUCAAGCCCCCGGCUUGUGUUGGGGACCUGCGGCUGCCGCAGGCCCUGAAAAGCAGUGGCGGGCUCGCUGUCACACCGAGCGUAGUAGCAUACAUCUCGCUCUGGGCGUGCUGCGGGUUCCGGCCGUUAAACCACCUUCAUAACCCAAGGUUGACCUCGGAUCAGGUAGGAAGACCCGCUGAACUUAAGCAUAUCAAUAAGCGGAGGA